RNAcentral lists this ribosomal RNA (253 nucleotides) under uncultured bacterium. RNAcentral's name for it is "partial 16S ribosomal RNA". It matches the Rfam family "Bacterial small subunit ribosomal RNA", at positions 524 to 776 of the family's 1533-position model. The record is from RNAcentral.
UACGUAGGGACCAAGCGUUGUUCGGAUUUACUGGGCGUAAAGGGCGCGUAGGCGGCUUGACAAGUCACUUGUGAAAUCUCCGGGCUUAACUCGGAACGGCCAAGUGAAACUGUCAUGCUAGAGUGCAGAAGGGGCAAUCGGAAUUCUUGGUGUAGCGGUGAAAUGCGUAGAUAUCAAGAGGAACACCUGAGGUGAAGACAAAUUACUAAACUGACACUAACGCUGAGGCGCGAAAGCCAGGGGAGCAAACGGG